This 253-nucleotide ribosomal RNA is filed under the name uncultured bacterium. Its description in RNAcentral is "partial 16S ribosomal RNA". It matches the Rfam family "Bacterial small subunit ribosomal RNA", at positions 524 to 776 of the family's 1533-position model. The record is from RNAcentral.
UACGUAGGUGGCAAGCGUUAUCCGGAUUUAUUGGGCGUAAAGGGAACGCAGGCGGUCUUUUAAGUCUGAUGUGAAAGCCUUCGGCUUAACCGGAGUAGUGCAUUGGAAACUGGGAGACUUGAGUGCAGAAGAGGAGAGCGGAACUCCAUGUGUAGCGGUGAAAUGCGUAGAUAUAUGGAAGAACACCAGUGGCGAAAGCGGCUCUCUGGCCUGUAACUGACACUGAGGCUCGAAAGCGUGGGGAGCAAACAGG